GACGAACGCUGGCGGCGUGCUUAACACAUGCAAGUCGAACGGAAAGGCCCUGCUUUUGUGGGGUGCUCGAGUGGCGAACGGGUGAGUAACACGUGAGUAACCUGCCCUUGACUUUGGGAUAACUUCAGGAAACUGGGGCUAAUACCGGAUAGGAGCUCCUGCUGCAUGGUGGGGGUUGGAAAGUUUCGGCGGUUGGGGAUGGACUCGCGGCUUAUCAGCUUGUUGGUGGGGUAGUGGCUUACCAAGGCUUUGACGGGUAGCCGGCCUGAGAGGGUGACCGGCCACAUUGGGACUGAGAUACGGCCCAGACUCCUACGGGAGGCAGCAGUGGGGAAUAGUGAACAAGGUGCGGAAGCCUGAUGCAGCAACGCCGCGUGCGGGAUGACGGCCUUCGGGUUGUAAACCGCUUUCGCCUGUGACGAAGCGUGAGUGACGGUAAUGGGUAAAGAAGCACCGGCUAACUACGUG
RNAcentral lists this ribosomal RNA (468 nucleotides) under uncultured bacterium. Its description in RNAcentral is "partial 16S ribosomal RNA". It matches the Rfam family "Bacterial small subunit ribosomal RNA", at positions 28 to 507 of the family's 1533-position model. The record is from RNAcentral.